GCCUACCACGGCUGACGACCUCCACCUGCCCGGGUUUAUUGUUCGGAGUGUGCUCUCCUAGGCAGAUUGCCUACCACGGCUGACGACCUCCACCUGGCCGGGUUUAUUGUUCGGAGUUUGCUCUCCUAGGUGAACUGCCUAUCACGGCUGACGACCUCCACCUGGCCGGGUUUAUUGUUCGGAGUUUGCUCUCCUAGGCAGAUUGCCUACCACGGCUGACGACCUCCACCUGGCCGGGUUUAUUGUUCGGAGUUUGCUCUCCUAGGUGAACUGCCUACCACGGCUGACGACCUCCACCUGGCCGGGUUUAUUGUUCGGAGUUUGCUCUCCUAGGUGAACUGCCUACCACGGCUGACGACCUCCACCUGGCCGGGUUUAUUGUUCGGAGUUUGCUCUCCUAGGUAAAAUGCUCACGCUAACGAGCUCCACCUGCCCGGGUUUUUUGCUCGGAGUUUGCUCUCCUAGGUGAACUGCCUACCACGGCUAACGAGCCCCACCUGCCCGGGUUUGUUUAGAGUUUCCUCUCCUAGGUGAACUGCCUACCACGGCUAACGAGCUCCACCUGCCCGGGUUUGUUUAGAGUUUGCUCUCCUAGGUGAAUUACCUACCACGGCGAACGACCUCCACCUGCCCGGGUUUGUUUAGAGUUUGCUCUCCUAGGUGAAUUGCCUCCCACGGCUAACGACCUCCACCUGCCCGGGUUUAUUGUUCGGAGUUUGCUCUCCUAGGUGAACUGCCUACCACGGCUAACGAGCCUCACCUGCCCGGGUUUGUUUAGAGUUUGCUCUCCUAGGCAGAUUGCCUACCACGGCUAACGAGCUCCACCUGCCCGGGUUUAUUGUUCGGAGUUUGCUCUCCUAGGCAGACUGCCUACCACGGCUAACGAGCUCCACCUGCCCGGGUUU
Long non-coding RNA from Eriocheir sinensis (Chinese mitten crab), 905 nucleotides. RefSeq lists it as uncharacterized. The transcript is spliced from 3 exons. Lineage: Eukaryota; Metazoa; Arthropoda; Malacostraca; Decapoda; Varunidae. The record is from RefSeq and is a predicted model, not a curated record.